UUGUCAUAUCUCACGAACUAUUGACCCAAUCGAGCUGAAACUCAGCGCGUUGCUGAGUUUCAGCUCGAUUGGGUCAAUAGUUCGUGAGAUAUGACA
Non-coding RNA from Paramuricea clavata, 96 nucleotides. The record is from the annotation of a GenBank genome assembly. NCBI's taxonomy places the organism in Eukaryota, Metazoa, Cnidaria, Anthozoa, Malacalcyonacea, Plexauridae.